GAAUUCGAUUAGAGUUUGAUCCUGGCUCAGAACGAACGCUGGUGGCAUGCCUAAUACAUGCAAGUCGAACGAGAAAGCACUUCGGUGUGAGUAGAGUGGCGCACGGGUGAGUAACGCGUAGGUGAUAUGCCUGUUAGUGGGGGACAACAUCGUGAAAACGGUGCUAAUACCGCAUAAGCUUAGUGAAAUUGAAAAAGCUAAGGAAAGGGGCUUCGGUCUCGCUGACAGAUUGGCCUGCGUAGCAUUAGCUUGUUGGUGGGGUAAUGGCCUACCAAGGCGACGAUGCUUAACUGGUCUGAGAGGAUGAUCAGUCACACUGGAACUGAGACACGGUCCAGACUCCUACGGGAGGCAGCAGUAGGGAAUAUUGCACAAUGGGGGAAACCCUGAUGCAGCAAUGCCACGUGAGUGAGGAAUGCCUUCGGGUUGUAAAGCUCUGUCCUAUAGGAAGAACGGCUUUGGGUAACGCCAAAGAUUGACGGUACUAUAGAAGAAAGCACCGGCUAACUCCGUGCCAGCAGCCGCGGUAAUACGGAGGGUGCAAGCGUUGUUCGGAUUUACUGGGCGUAAAGCGCGCGCAGGCGGAUUAUCAAGUCAGAUGUGAAAUCUCGGGGCUCAACCCCGAAACUGCGUCUGAAACUGAUAGUCUAGAGUCUCAUAGGGGGUAGGGGAAUUUCACGUGUAGGGGUAAAAUCCGUAGAGAUGUGAAGGAAUACCGGUGGCGAAGGCGCCUGCCUGGAUGAGUACUGACGCUGAGGCGCGAAAGCGUGGGGAGCAAAC
This 780-nucleotide ribosomal RNA is filed under the name uncultured bacterium. RNAcentral's name for it is "bacterial SSU rRNA". It matches the Rfam family "Bacterial small subunit ribosomal RNA", at positions 1 to 773 of the family's 1533-position model. The record is from RNAcentral.